Molecule: long non-coding RNA, 501 nt
Filed under: Felis catus (domestic cat)
Lineage: Eukaryota; Metazoa; Chordata; Mammalia; Carnivora; Felidae
Description: lncRNA (ENSFCAG00000052053.1)
Source: RNAcentral
CAAAGUCUGUGCCUCAUCUGAUCAUCGCCCCACCUUUUCCCUAUCCCAACAUAAUUUAAAGAAAGCAGCACUUCCCCAUCAAUAGCUGUGGCCAAAAUCCUCAGUUAGAAUGACAGAUGCCGCCUACUGGAGACCAUCAGAAUUGCUGGUGGGGUGAGAAGGAAAGCUGUGAAUGGAAGAAAUCCCUCCAUCCCAAGAGUUCCAGUAUACUUCUGUCAGGACGCUAAUUCUCCAGAGACUACAGGGGAGGAGUGGAGGAAGAUGGCAGGUCACCCAUGUCUGAAGAUGCUAAAGAACUGAGUGGUGGACGAUUGGAUAAAACAGAUUCCUUUGAGAGGAUGACAUUUGAGCAGAUAUGAGGAAAACUGGAGACAGCCAAGCAAAUAUCUGGCGAGAGAAAGUUCUAAGAAGAGACAACAGUUAAUGAGAGGGCCCUUAUGUGGGAACAUGUCUGAUAUGCUCAGGAACAGAAAAGAAGACAGUGGAGUUGGACAAGAGUGA